Molecule: long non-coding RNA, 185 nt
Organism: Orcinus orca (killer whale)
Lineage: Eukaryota; Metazoa; Chordata; Mammalia; Artiodactyla; Delphinidae
Exons: 3
Source: RefSeq, a predicted model, not a curated record
GGAGUCUCAACCACUGGACCACCAGGGAAGUCCUGGCUCAUGGCUUUCUUGUGAUGAUCACAGAGUGGUUGCUGGUCUGGUCGUAGUUUAUGGAAUUCUGCUCUGGACUGAUGCAGCCUUCUGACCACGUCCAUGAAGACUCUCUUGACGUGUUCUCCAAGAGUACAGGGAGGCUAGAGUGAAAC